GACGAACGCUGGCGGCGUGCUCAACACAUGCAAGUCGUACGGUAAGGCCCUUUCGGGGGUACACGAGUGGCGAACGGGUGAGUAACACGUGAGUAACCUGCCCACAACUUUGGGAUAACGCUAGGAAACUGGUGCUAAUACUGGAUAUGUGCUCCUGCUGCAUGGUGGGGGUUGGAAAGCUCCGGCGGUUGUGGAUGGACUCGCGGCCUAUCAGCUUGUUGGUGGGGUAGUGGCCUACCAAGGCGGCGACGGGUAGCCGGCCUGAGAGGGUGACCGGCCACAUUGGGACUGAGAUACGGCCCAGACUCCUACGGGAGGCAGCAGUGGGGAAUAUUGCACAAUGGGCGCAAGCCUGAUGCAGCAACGCCGCGUGCGGGAUGACGGCCUUCGGGUUGUAAACCGCUUUCAGCAGGGACGAAGCUUUUUGUGACGGUACCUGCAGAAGAAGCACCGGCUAACUACGUG
Molecule: ribosomal RNA, 465 nt
Filed under: uncultured bacterium
Lineage: Bacteria
Description: partial 16S ribosomal RNA
Rfam family: Bacterial small subunit ribosomal RNA
Source: RNAcentral